UUGCGCAGGCACUUUGGUGACUCUAGAUAACCUCGGGCCGAUCGCACGUCCCCGUGACGGUGACGACGCAUUCAGAGGUUUGCCCUAUCAACUUUCGAUGUUACUUUCUGCGCCUACCAUGGAUAACGGGGAAUCAGGGUUCGAUUCCGGAGAGGAAGCCUGAGAAAUGGCUACCACAUCACAGGAAGGCACCAGGUGCGCAAAUUACCCACUCCCGAUGCGGGAAGGUAGUGACGAAA
Non-coding RNA from Pelobates cultripes (western spadefoot toad), 239 nucleotides. The record is from the annotation of a GenBank genome assembly. NCBI's taxonomy places the organism in Eukaryota, Metazoa, Chordata, Amphibia, Anura, Pelobatidae.